AUGCUUCCUCUCCCUCUCUCAUCGAUCUUCUCCACCUCACGACAGGAGCCGUCCAAUAGAUCGUGGCCGAGAGCUGUGGUGGAGGCGGCGGUCUUCAUGGCCCGCGGAGUUGAGGGAGAGGUGAGGAGGAAGGUGUUGACUCUGUUGAAGGAGGCAAAGGCAGCAAUACAGCAAAUCGAGUUGUUGCUAGGCCAGACGCCCAAGGUGGACGGACCAGAUGGUCAACGAUUCCGCAAGCGGCAGUGGGAAUUCGAAGAAACAGAGGAGGAAGAAGAGGAGGAGGUCCCCGGCGAGGGCUGCGGUGGAGACUGGUUGGAUGCCCUCAGCAAGGAGGACCUACUCGAGUACGUCAACGGAUUUGAUGUACGCGACACUAACCAAGGUUCGCUUGUGACCCAGGAUGCCGAUGUCCGCGUCCGUGUAGAAGAUGUCUCGCCCAUGCCGCUCAAUUUUGUUCAACACGACGUCCAUGUCCUUGGCGGUUGCCCAAGUUCAGGAACAGGAUGCAUGUGCGGAAACAAGCUCAGCUGCUUCCCAAGCAGUGGUGUGCAUGUCCUUAGUACAGGGAGCUUGCCCAUCUUGGCCGGUGAAGAGGUACUGCCCGAGGACGCUGAGACCCAGGACGACAAUGAGGUGCUGCCCGACGACGCCGAGACCAACGGCAGAGAGGUGCUGCCCGAGGGCGCCGAUAUCGACGGCGGACACAUGUUGCCCGAGGACGCUGAGACCGGCGACAGCGUAGACGUGCUGCUCGAGGACGCCCAGACCGACAACGGCGUUGAGUUGCUGCUCCAGGACGCCCAGACCGACGACAGCGUUGAGUUGCUGCUCCAGGACGCCCAGACCGACGACGGUGUAGAGUUGCUGCCUAAAGACGGUGAAGCGGCACUGCCCGAGGAUGCUGACAGUGAUGUAUCUUUUGUGCCUGACUCUAUGCCCGCUCACGGUGGCGACUCGCUCGAUGAAUCGACGAUGGAGGAACCAGUACAGUAUGCAUGA
RNAcentral lists this ribosomal RNA (999 nucleotides) under Triticum aestivum (bread wheat). RNAcentral describes it as "partial small subunit ribosomal RNA". Lineage: Eukaryota; Viridiplantae; Streptophyta; Magnoliopsida; Poales; Poaceae. The record is from RNAcentral.